This 493-nucleotide ribosomal RNA is filed under the name uncultured bacterium. Its description in RNAcentral is "partial 16S ribosomal RNA". It matches the Rfam family "Bacterial small subunit ribosomal RNA", at positions 28 to 505 of the family's 1533-position model. The record is from RNAcentral.
GACGAACGCUGGCGGCGUGCCUAAUACAUGCAAGUAGGACGCUGAAGGAGGAGCUUGCUUCUCUGGAUGAGUUGCGAACGGGUGAGUAACGCGUAGGUAACCUGCCUGGUAGCGGGGGAUAACUAUUGGAAACGAUAGCUAAUACCGCAUAAUAGUAGAUGUUGCAUGACAUUUGCUUAAAAGGUGCAAUUGCAUCACUACCAGAUGGACCUGCGUUGUAUUAGCUAGUUGGUGGGGUAACGGCUCACCAAGGCGACGAUACAUAGCCGACCUGAGAGGGGGAUCGGCCCAACCGGGACUGGGGACCCGCCCAGGCUCCUACGGGAGGCAGGCGGAGGGAAUUUUCGGAAAUGGACGGAAGUCUGACCGAGCAACGCCGGGGGAGUGAAAAAGGGUUUCGGAUCGUAAAGCUUUGUUGUAAGAGAAGAACGGGUGGGGGGGGGGAAAGUUCCCCCUGGGACGGUUUUUUACCAAAAAGGGACGGGUAACUACG